This 459-nucleotide ribosomal RNA is filed under the name uncultured bacterium. RNAcentral describes it as "partial 16S ribosomal RNA". It matches the Rfam family "Bacterial small subunit ribosomal RNA", at positions 338 to 795 of the family's 1533-position model. The record is from RNAcentral.
CCUACGGGAGGCAGCAGUGAGGAAUAUUGGGCAAUGGGCGAGAGCCUGAACCAGCAACGUAGCGUGAAGGAUGACUGCCCUACGGGUUGUAAACUUCUUUUAUAGAAGAAUAAAGUGAGGCACGUGUGCCUGUUGGUAUGUACUUUAUGAAUAAGGAUCGGCAAACUCCGUGCGAGCAGCCGCGGUAAUACGGAGGCUCCGAGCGUUAUCCGGAUUUAGUGGGUUAAAAGGGAGCGUAGGCGGGCUUUUAAGUCAGCGGUAAAAAUUCGGGGCUCAACCCCGUCGGGCAGUUGAAGCUGGGGGACUAGAGUGGGCGAGAAGAAGGCGGAAUGCGUGGUGUAGCGGUGAAAUGCAUAGAUAUCACGAAGAACCCCGAUUGCGAAGGCAGCCUUCCGGCGCCCUACUGACGCUGAGGCACGAAAGUGCGGGGAUCGAACAGGAUUAGAUACCCCUGUAGUC